AGAGUUUGAUCAUGGCUCAGAACGAACGCUGGCGGCGUGGAUAAGACAUGCAAGUCGAGCGAGAUUUUUUUCUGUAGCAAUACAGGGAAAAGUCUAGCGGCGAACGGGUGCGUAACACGUGGGCAACCUGCCAAGAAGUGGGGGAUAGCUCGCCGAAAGGCGAAUUAAUACCGCAUGUGAUCAGAGUGGACAUCCAUUCAAAAUCAAAGUCGGGGCAACCUGACGCUUCUUGAGGGGCCCGCGGCCUAUCAGCUAGUUGGUGAGGUAACGGCCCACCAAGGCUUAGACGGGUAGCUGGUCUGAGAGGACGACCAGCCACACUGGGACUGAGACACGGCCCAGACACCUACGGGUGGCAGCAGUCGAGAAUUUUUCUCAAUGGGGGAAACCCUGAAGGAGCGACGCCGCGUGGAGGAUGAAGGUCUUCGGGUUGUAAACUCCUGUCAUUUGGGAACAAUGCGCAAAUAUUAACUGUAUUUGCGUUGAUAGUACCAGAAGAGGAAGGGACGGCUAACUCCGUGCCAGCAGCCGCGGUAAUACAGAGGUCCCAAGCGUUGUUCGGAUUCAUUGGGCGUAAAGGGUGCGUAGGCGGCGCGGUAAGUCGGGUGUGAAAUCUCGGGGCUUAACUCCGAAACUGCAUUCGAUACCGCCGUGCUUGAGGACUGGAGAGGAGACUGGAAUUUACGGUGUAGCGGUGAAAUGCGUAGAUAUCGUAAGGAAGACCAGUGGCGAAGGCGGGUCUCUGGACAGUUCCUGACGCUGAGGCACGAAGGCCAGGGGAGCAAACGGGAUUAGAUACCCCGGUAGUCCUGGCAGUAAACGGUGCACGUUUGGUGUGGGAGGAUUCGACCCCUUCUGCGCCGGAGCUAACGCGUUAAACGUGCCGCCUGGGGAGUACGGUCGCAAGAUUAAAACUCAAAGAAAUUGACGGGGG
This 934-nucleotide ribosomal RNA is filed under the name uncultured bacterium. RNAcentral's name for it is "bacterial SSU rRNA". It matches the Rfam family "Bacterial small subunit ribosomal RNA", at positions 8 to 919 of the family's 1533-position model. The record is from RNAcentral.